UUAUUUUACAGGAUUCACCUUCCCUAGGAGGCAGUGAAACUGCUGAGAGUGAUUCCUCCUCACCAGCUGGUAGCCGCCAGAGUGAACGGGAUUUUUAUUCCCCAGGAGGCAGCCAGUCAGGUGGACAUGGAUCAUCUUCUCAAGGUGGUGGCUACUCGAGUGGACAGG
This is a long non-coding RNA of Manacus vitellinus (golden-collared manakin), 168 nucleotides long. RefSeq lists it as uncharacterized. NCBI's taxonomy places the organism in Eukaryota, Metazoa, Chordata, Aves, Passeriformes, Pipridae. The transcript has 4 exons. The record is from RefSeq and is a predicted model, not a curated record.